This 402-nucleotide ribosomal RNA is filed under the name Phaeophyceae sp. Its description in RNAcentral is "partial small subunit ribosomal RNA". It matches the Rfam family "Eukaryotic small subunit ribosomal RNA", at positions 582 to 975 of the family's 1831-position model. Lineage: Eukaryota; Phaeophyceae. The record is from RNAcentral.
AUUCCAGCUCCAAUAGCGUAUAUUAAAGUUGCUGCAGUUAAAAAGCUCGUAGUUGGAUUUGUGGCGCGGCCGUCCGGCGGGGCUCCUUCAUUGGGGCCGUUUGUCUGGUUUUUCGGCCGCUCCAUUCUCGGGUAGUGUGUCGCUGGCAUUAGUUUGCUGGCGUCUUCACGCCCGUCGUUUACUGUGAAAAAAUUAGAGUGUUCAAAGCAGGCUUAGGCCAUUGGAUACAUUAGCAUGGAAUAAUGAGAUAGGGCCACGACGGUCUAUUUUGUUGGUUUGCACGUUGUGGUAAUGAUUAACAGGAACGGUUGGGGGUAUUCGUAUUCAAUUGUCAGAGGUGAAAUUCUUGGAUUUAUGGAAGACGAACUACUGCGAAAGCAUUUACCAAGGAUGUUUUCAUCA